CUAGUAUCAACACAAACACUUAGAGGUAGACUCAGGAACUGAUAAUGCUGAGGUCCUGGGAGAUAAAGGAAAAGCUGGGGACCAAUGAACCAAUGGCGUCCAAGGUUGUGUCCAUUGAUGAACACGGCUCCUUUACCCCAACCCUGUGGAUGGAUGCACUGGGGAAUAAAGUACUCGCUUGUACUUUGACGCCAUCUCAGAAAAAUGCUUGGGAGCAGUUGGAUACCUUUGAUUACUGUGUAACAGUAACAGAAUAGUGACAAUCCUGUGAAAUGCGGCACAGUCAAGUUGCAGUGGGAGCCUACGUGGUGAGAGUAUUGAGGCCACAGGCCUUCAUCUUCAGCAGCCGGUCCUCCCAGUAGGCUCUGGGGACACGAAAGUA
This is a long non-coding RNA of Sebastes umbrosus (honeycomb rockfish), 382 nucleotides long. RefSeq lists it as uncharacterized. NCBI's taxonomy places the organism in Eukaryota, Metazoa, Chordata, Actinopteri, Perciformes, Sebastidae. The transcript has 5 exons. The record is from RefSeq and is a predicted model, not a curated record.